Molecule: ribosomal RNA, 648 nt
Filed under: Desulfomonilaceae bacterium
Lineage: Bacteria; Pseudomonadati; Thermodesulfobacteriota; Desulfomonilia; Desulfomonilales; Desulfomonilaceae
Description: bacterial SSU rRNA
Rfam family: Bacterial small subunit ribosomal RNA
Source: RNAcentral
ACAACGGAGAGUUUGAUCCUGGCUCAGGACGAACGCUGGCGGCGUGCCUAACACAUGCAAGUCAACGAGAAAGGGGUAGCAAUAUCCCGAGUAAAGUGGCGCAAGGGUGAGUAAUAUGUAAGUAAUCUACCCAUGGGUUCGGAAUAACUCGUCGAAAGACGGGAUAAUACCGUAUAAUGCAGCGGCAUCGCAUGAUGAUGUUGUUAAAGCUCUAGAAGCGCCUAUGGAUGAGCUUGCAUCCGAUUAGCUAGUUGGUGGGGUAACUGCCUACCAAGGCUACAAUCGGUAGCUGGUCUGAGAGGAUGAUCAGCCACACUGGAACUGAGACACGGUCCAGACUCCUACGGGAGGCAGCAGUGAGGAAUAUUGGGCAAUGGACGAAAGUCUGACCCAGCAACGCCGCGUGGAGGAUGAAUGCCGUAAGGUUGUAAACUCCUUUUGAAGGGGACGAAAAAUUCCGAUAACAUCGGAACUUGACUGUACCCUUAGAAGAAGCCCCGGCUAACUACGUGCCAGCAGCCGCGGUAAUACGUAGGGGGCGAGCGUUGUCCGGAUUUACUGGGUGUAAAGGGCGCGUAGGCGGAUUUGUUAGUCAAGGGUGAAAUCCUACAGCUUAACUGUAGAACUGCCUUUGAUACUGCAAAUCUU